RNAcentral lists this ribosomal RNA (439 nucleotides) under uncultured bacterium. RNAcentral's name for it is "partial 16S ribosomal RNA". It matches the Rfam family "Bacterial small subunit ribosomal RNA", at positions 339 to 795 of the family's 1533-position model. The record is from RNAcentral.
CUACGGGCGGCUCCAGUGAGGAAUAUUGCACAAUGGGGGGAACCCUGAUGCAGCAACGCCGCGUGGAGGAUGACGCAUUUCGGUGUGUAAACUCCUUUUAUAUGUCAAGAAAAUGACGGUAGCAUAUGAAUAAGCACCGGCUAACUCCGUGCCAGCAGCCGCGGUAAUACGGAGGGUGCAAGCGUUACUCGGAAUCACUGGGCGUAAAGGACGCGUAGGCGGGUUGGAAAGUCAGGUGUGAAAUCCUACAGCUUAACUGUGGAACUGCACUUGAAACUUCUAAUCUAGAGUAUGGGAGGGGGAGAUGGAAUUAGUGGUGUAGGGGUAAAAUCCGUAGAUAUCACUAGGAAUACCUAAAGCGAAGGCGAUCUCCUGGAACAUUACUGACGCUAAGGCGUGAAAGCGUGGGGAGCAAACAGGAUUAGAUACCCAUGUAGUC